Molecule: ribosomal RNA, 119 nt
Organism: Amphiprion percula (orange clownfish)
Lineage: Eukaryota; Metazoa; Chordata; Actinopteri; Pomacentridae
Source: Ensembl
GCUUACGGCCAUACCGGCCUGAAUACGCCCGAUCUCGUCUGAUCUCGGAAGCUAAGCAGGGUCGGGCCUGGUUAGUACUUGGAUGGGCGACCGCCUGGGAAUACCAGGUGCUGUAAGCU